Molecule: ribosomal RNA, 724 nt
Filed under: Corynebacterium urealyticum
Lineage: Bacteria; Bacillati; Actinomycetota; Actinomycetes; Mycobacteriales; Corynebacteriaceae
Description: bacterial SSU rRNA
Rfam family: Bacterial small subunit ribosomal RNA
Source: RNAcentral
ACACAUGCAAGUCGAACGGAAAGGCCCCUGCUUGCAGGGGUACUCGAGUGGCGAACGGGUGAGUAACACGUGGGUGAUCUGCCCUUCACUUCGGGAUAAGCCUGGGAAACUGGGUCUAAUACCGGAUAGGACCAAUCUUUAGUGUGGUUGGUGGAAAGUUUUUUCGGUGGAGGAUGAGCCCGCGGCCUAUCAGCUUGUUGGUGGGGUAAUGGCCUACCAAGGCGACGACGGGUAGCCGGCCUGAGAGGGUGGACGGCCACAUUGGGACUGAGACACGGCCCAGACUCCUACGGGAGGCAGCAGUGGGGAAUAUUGCACAAUGGGCGGAAGCCUGAUGCAGCGACGCCGCGUGAGGGAUGACGGCCUUCGGGUUGUAAACCUCUUUCGCUAGGGAAGAAGCCUUCGGGUGACGGUACCUGGAUAAGAAGCACCGGCUAACUACGUGCCAGCAGCCGCGGUAAUACGUAGGGUGCGAGCGUUGUCCGGAAUUACUGGGCGUAAAGAGCUCGUAGGUGGUUUGUCGCGUCGUCUGUGAAAUUCCGGGGCUUAACUCCGGGCGUGCAGGCGAUACGGGCAAACUGGAGUGCUGUAGGGGAGACUGGAAUUCCUGGUGUAGCGGUGGAAUGCGCAGAUAUCAGGAGGAACACCGAUGGCGAAGGCAGGUCUCUGGGCAGUUACUGACACUGAGGAGCGAAAGCAUGGGUAGCGAACAGGAUUAGAUACC